GGAGGAGGAGUGGCCUUGAAGGUUAGGCUGUGAGGGUAGGUAGCCUCAUGGAGUCUGUUCCCCCUUCAGUUCCAGCCUCAGCUGGUCCUGGUGGCUGCUGGAUUUGAUGCCCUGCAAGGGGACCCCAAGGUAAGGCAGGCUCCCUGGGGUGGCAGGUGGGUUGCACGGAGCCAGGCUGACCCUCCAUGUCCCCCCAGGGUGAGAUGGCCGCCACUCCGGCAGGGUUCGCCCAGCUAACCCACUUGCUCAUGGGUCUGGCAGGAGGCAAGCUGAUCCUGUCUCUGGAGGGUGGCUAUAACCUCCGCGCCCUAGCUGAAGGCGUCAGUGCUUCGCUCCACACCCUUCUUGGAGACCCUUGCCCCAUGCUGGAGUCACCUGGUGCCCCCUGCCGGAGUGCCCAGGCUUCAGUUUCCUGUGCUCUGGAAGCCCUUGAGCCCUUCUGGGAGGUUCUUGUGAGAUCAACUGAGACCGUGGAGGGGGACAACAUGGAGGAGGACAAUGUAGAGAGCGAGGAGGAAGGACCCUGGGAGCCCCCUGCGCUCCCAAUCCUGACAUGGCCAGUGCUACAGUCUCGCACAGGGCUGGUCUAUGACCAAAGUAUGAUGAAUCACUGCAACUUGUGGGACAGCCACCACCCUGAGGUACCCCAGCGCAUCUUGCGGAU
RNAcentral lists this small RNA (664 nucleotides) under Pongo abelii (Sumatran orangutan). RNAcentral describes it as "retained intron". Lineage: Eukaryota; Metazoa; Chordata; Mammalia; Primates; Hominidae. The record is from RNAcentral.